This 253-nucleotide ribosomal RNA is filed under the name uncultured bacterium. RNAcentral's name for it is "partial 16S ribosomal RNA". It matches the Rfam family "Bacterial small subunit ribosomal RNA", at positions 524 to 776 of the family's 1533-position model. The record is from RNAcentral.
UACGUAGGGUGCGAGCGUUGUCCGGAAUUAUUGGGCGUAAAGAGCUUGUAGGCGGUUUGUCGCGUCUGCUGUGAAAAUCCGGGGCUCAACCCCGGACUUGCAGUGGGUACGGGCAGGCUAGAGUGUGGUAGGGGAGACUGGAAUUCCUGGUGUAGCGGUGAAAUGCGCAGAUAUCAGGAGGAACACCGGUGGCGAAGGCGGAUCUCUGGGCCAUUACUGACGCUGAGGAGCGAAAGCGUGGGGAGCGAACAGG